UCUUGAAAUUUAAAGAAUUUGGCGGUAUUUAAGUCUGGUUAGAGGAACCUGUUCUGUAAUCGAUAUGCCACGUAUAAUUUUACCUUAUUUAGUAUUCAGUUUGUAUAUCUCCAUUUAUAAGUUAUAUUUCAAAAAAAUUUCUGAGAUAGAAGAGUUCUCGUAAAUUAGGUCAAGGUGCAGCUAAUAGUAAGGAAGUUAUGGGUUACAAUGUGUUUUAUGGUUGGAUAAAGCUCUGAAAAAAGUUUUUGAAAUUGGAUUUAAUUGUAAUUUUAGAUUAAAGUGCUAAAAUGAUACUAGCUCUUAAAUAUGUACAUAUCGCCCGUCGCAAAGA
This 331-nucleotide ribosomal RNA is filed under the name Palaemon tonkinensis. Its description in RNAcentral is "partial 12S ribosomal RNA". The record is from RNAcentral. Lineage: Eukaryota; Metazoa; Arthropoda; Malacostraca; Decapoda; Palaemonidae.